CUAACCUGCUAAAUAGUACGAUUGCAAUUUUUAUGUGGACCUCUGUCCUUGUGCCUCUGGUACUUGGAUAGAACCACAUAAGCAGGUGAAACUUCUUAGAGGAACUGGCGCCCGAAAAGGCGCACGAGAAAGAGCAAUAACAGGUCUGUGAUGCCCUAAGAUGUCCGGGGCCGCACGCGUGCUACAAUGACGAUGCUACUGAGCAUGAUUAACUUGUCCGAAAGGAUUGGUGAAACUGUUCAAUCAUCGUCGUGACUGGGAUUGGGGUUUGUAAUUAUCCCCCAUGAACCAGGAAUUCCUAGUAAGCACAAGUCAUAAGCUUGUGCUGAUUACGUCCCUGCCCUUUGUACACACCGCCCGUCGCUACUACCGAUUGAAUGGUUUAGCAAGGACAUUCGAUUGAGCCCUUGCGGUUUCGGCUGCUUGGGAUUGAGAAGAUGUCCGAACUUGAUCAUUUAGAGGAAGUAAAAGUCGUAACAAGGUUUCCGUAGGUGAACCUGCGGAAGGAUCAUUA
This 514-nucleotide ribosomal RNA is filed under the name Dactylogyrus nanus. RNAcentral's name for it is "bacterial SSU rRNA". It matches the Rfam family "Eukaryotic small subunit ribosomal RNA", at positions 1343 to 1831 of the family's 1831-position model. The record is from RNAcentral. Lineage: Eukaryota; Metazoa; Platyhelminthes; Monogenea; Dactylogyridea; Dactylogyridae.